Non-coding RNA from Agelaius phoeniceus (red-winged blackbird), 505 nucleotides. Lineage: Eukaryota; Metazoa; Chordata; Aves; Passeriformes; Icteridae. The record is from RefSeq and is a predicted model, not a curated record.
GAAGGAAGAAUUGGAUGGUGAGCUUUGAGACUACUUAAGAACUGCCCCAAACCUGUUCAGGGCACAGCUAUGAUACAGCCAUAAUCUUGAACGUAAGAAAGUCUAAUGGGAACACUGUAUAUACCCUCAGUCCUCCAGAAACUCAAAGGAUCUGUCCAGCAGCUCAUGUUGUGGCACAAUGCCUACCCUUGGGGUGGUGUUAACUUUUUAUACUAGGAACUACGUGUACUUUAUUUACAAUAAUUUUCCAAUACCUAUCACCUAUGUUAGACAGUCUGUCUCUACUCUAAACCAACCCAAAAGUGCCAACAUCACAGCAGAAGAUGUAGGACAAGAAGAAGAAGAAGAAGAAGAAGAAGAAGAAGAAGAAGAAGAAGAAGAAGAAGAAGAAGAAGAAGGACAGGACAUGCCCAGAUUCCUUCAUCUUGCUUCUUGAUCUCCAAUUCUAAAAUGCCAAAAUUCUACUUUUUCACCCUGUGACAAAUAAACUAUUAUUCUACUCAAA